CUCGGAGGUGACAGAAUUAGCAACAUCUGUGCUGUCUUCAAAUGAUGGCAGAUCUAACUGAAGGAUCCCAGCACGAGUACUUGCGUGAACUUCUGGUUUAUUUCAAGACAGUCUUGAAGAAUCUGGCGUUGCUACAAGCUGUGCUUCCCUUCAUCUGCCCUGGAAUACUGUAAAAGAAACCUGCUAUUGGGAGUUGCAGAAGCUGGUGAAAUUUACCAGGAGACAAAUGAAGUAGUUGUGUAUUCAAAGAGAAGAAUUACUGAUAUCAUUUAUCAGCUGGACUUCGUUCACCACUUGUCUCAACUCUGUAGACUGAAGAGUAUCAAGAAGCAAAGUCUCAAAAUUCUCACCAUUCUUCAGGCACUAAAACAAAUAUUCUUUCUUUGAAAAAUGCCAAACCUAACUGUUGGACAGAAAAAAAUUUGCUAUGGUUUGCCUUCCUAGACCCCCAAAUCCAUCUUUCUAUGCCACUGCUAUUGAAUUACUCUUAAGCAGAACUGCAUAAGAAGGAAGUGCGGCAGUCUCCACAUUUAAGGCUCUUUGCACGCAGUUCCCUGAAGAUUAUACGGAGGACAAUGGAUCCUUUGCUGUUUCAAUCAGACAGGAUUUUUCCUUCGUAUGUAAGUUCUGUUUUGUAGAAACAAGAGAGCUGUUGUGUCAUAUUUGCCAUAUAAUUUUACUACAGUGUGCUAUAUUACUGCAUAAGGAACUUUGAGUUGCAGUUUUGGAUAUGUUCAUGUUGGGCUAAAUUUAGAAAGAUCUAUAUUUAGGAAUUCUUAUGGACUUGAAAAUAGCCUCGCUCA
RNAcentral lists this long non-coding RNA (803 nucleotides) under Apteryx rowi (Okarito brown kiwi). RNAcentral describes it as "lncRNA (ENSARWG00000015977.1)". The record is from RNAcentral. Lineage: Eukaryota; Metazoa; Chordata; Aves; Apterygiformes; Apterygidae.